AGGGGGUGGGAGAGUCGAUUUUUAAUAGUUACUAUCGAUUUCUUAAGUCUAGCUAAUUAGAAGAUUAGUGUCGUCUGCUCUCGUUGUAGACUUGUAGUAGUAGUACAGUUUCGAGAGAAGAGACGAGUUUAGUAAGUAAUAAGUGAGUGCUGAAGUUUAUUAAGAUAUAGAAUCGUAACGAUAACUUUUAUGGAAACGUGCAUGUCUUCACGAGAAAUAGCACAACUAUUAAAGUUUCAAAAACGUGGUGAUCGUGUAUAAAACUCUGGUGUCGUGGGUCUCCACACUCUCCAUGCAUGCUGCUUGGCGGAUUUCAGGCCUGAACCAGCCAUCAUUACAACACGAUAUGCAAGUUUUGCUUCUGCUGGUAUUGAUCUGCCAUCAGCAACAUACUCAGUCAUCGCUUGGAUAAACAGCAUCCAGACAUCCAGCUUGAUUGGAAAAACUCAGUCCUUGUGUACACCCAUGUGAGUGUGGGGGUAUUCACGAGGACGCCCUUUUUUCGUCAUUCAACUUUUCUGCAGGAUGGAGCACUUAUGGAUGCCAGGCUGUUUUACCCAGGC
Molecule: long non-coding RNA, 563 nt
Organism: Daphnia pulicaria
Lineage: Eukaryota; Metazoa; Arthropoda; Branchiopoda; Diplostraca; Daphniidae
Exons: 3
Source: RefSeq, a predicted model, not a curated record